Molecule: ribosomal RNA, 309 nt
Filed under: uncultured bacterium
Lineage: Bacteria
Description: bacterial SSU rRNA
Rfam family: Bacterial small subunit ribosomal RNA
Source: RNAcentral
UAUGAACGCUGGCGGCGUGCUUAACACAUGCAAGUCGAACGAUGAAGCCCAGCUUGCUGGGUGGAUUAGUGGCGAACGGGUGAGGUAACACGUGAGUAACCUGCCCUUAACUCUGGGAUAAGCCUGGGAAACUAGGUCUAAUACCGGAUAGGAGCGCCUACCGCAUGGUGGGUGUUGGAAAAGAGUUUAUCGGUUUUGGAUGGACUCGCGGCCUAUCAGCUUGUUGGUGAGGUAAUGGCUCACCAAGGCGACGAUCAGUAGCCGACCUGAGAGGGCGACCGGCCACAUUGGGACUGAGACACGGCCCAG